GACGAACGCUGGCGGCGUGCCUAAUACAUGCAAGUCAAACGAGAGCGACCGGUGCUUGCACUGGUCAAUCUAGUGGCGAACGGGUGAGUAACACGUGGGUAACCUGCCCAUCAGAGGGAGAUAACAUUCGGAAACGGAUGCUAAAACCGCAUAGGUCUUCGAACCGCAUGGUUUGAAGAGGAAAAGAGGCGCAAGCUUCUGCUGAUGGAUGGACCCGCGGUGCAUUAGCUAGUUGGUGAGGUAACGGCUCACCAAGGCCGUGAUGCAUAGCCGACCUGAGAGGGUGAUCGGCCACAUUGGGACUGAGACACGGCCCAAACUCCUACGGGAGGCAGCAGUAGGGAAUCUUCCGCAAUGGACGCAAGUCUGACGGAGCAACGCCGCGUGAGUGAAGAAGGUUUUCGGAUCGUAAAACUCUGUUGUUAGAGAAGAACAAGUGCUAGAGUAACUGUUAGCGCCUUGACGGUAUCUAACCAGAAAGCCACGGCUAACUACGUG
RNAcentral lists this ribosomal RNA (498 nucleotides) under uncultured bacterium. RNAcentral describes it as "partial 16S ribosomal RNA". It matches the Rfam family "Bacterial small subunit ribosomal RNA", at positions 28 to 507 of the family's 1533-position model. The record is from RNAcentral.